AUGGUGUUGGGCAUCAUGGCGGCGGAGGGGGUAGACAUACUCUCGAUGGAGGAAGUGAGCUCUCUUUGGACAUGUAUCCCCGCCAUCAUCACUGUCUUCACGGCCCUCACCAGCAGCAGUCGGGGCCACCGGCAGCCUCCCUGGUGGCGUGAUCUAGUGGGCAAGACGCANNNNNNNNNNAACUCCAAUGGGAGGAGAUCUAACGAUGCGUCUGCCGCCGCCGUUGGUGAGCAUGACGCAGUCGGGAGGCAUGAGUACGAGGCGCAGGCAGAGACCGCGGAGAAGAGGAUGGUUGAGCCUCUAAUGGGGGAAGUGACGUUCUUCAAUUAUCAAGUCAUUUUGCGAUUUCAAGAUGUAUUAUACUUACCUAUUGUUGGUUCCUUAUGCAGGAUGGCAAACAAAGGUAAUCCCGGAGCGAAGAGGAAGAAGAAGCAGGAGGCUGGCGGGCAGAAGAAUCAGGAAGCUGGAGGGGAGAAGAAGCAGGGGGCUGGCGGGAAGAAGAAGCCGACCCUGCACUGCUUGGCACUUGAGGAGGAGAGAGGAUGUAAAAAGUUCAAUGAAUAUAUGCAAGAACUGGCUAACAAGUCCCCUGGAAAAGAUAUAUGCGUGGUUGAGCCAUCUCGCGGGGAUACACAAACACCUGGUGAAGCACUGCUAAUUGAAGAGGCCCAGACAGCAAUCCUCAGAGUCAUUCAUCUAUAUAUGGACGAAAUCGAGGAAGGCUGGUGCUUCAGCACAGUCAGCGAGAGCAAUACAGUCGUCACAAAUCAAGACAUUCCUAAGAUUCUGAAAGAUAAUCGGGUGAGAGCAACAGCGGAAACAGUUACCAAAUGCGUGACUGGUUUAGCUGAAAUGCUUAAGAGGGUUGUCAUGGAUUCGAGCCCAUCCUACCGACAGGAUCCUAAUAUCAACAAGGAGCUGCGUCACCUCCUUGGUUUGAUACGCAGAUACAAGUUCAGGGCAUGCACAUUUUUGAUCAAGUACCAUGCAGCUACAGUUCCUCUAAUCAACAGACUGAUUCUCUUCAUUAUGAUCUAUGAUCAUACUGUAGAGAUUCUAAGGCGCACUGACCCUAAGGCGUAUAACACAGUAAUGACGAGUCUUGACUGCCCAGCAAAUUGGGACAAUCUUGUGAGAAGUAAUAACUUUCUUCUGAUGUACUACGACUGGUUUGAUCUUGCAAGAGCUCAAUAUCAGAGGUUUCCUGAGGUCAUGGUAUCAAUGCAGACGAGUUUGCAUUCGCUGGGGGAACUCCAAGCCUUGGGAACGCAAUAUCUGUUCCCUGCAAAGAUAAAAGUGACGCCCAAAGGGCCUGAAUCCUGA
Molecule: ribosomal RNA, 1323 nt
Filed under: Triticum aestivum (bread wheat)
Lineage: Eukaryota; Viridiplantae; Streptophyta; Magnoliopsida; Poales; Poaceae
Description: partial small subunit ribosomal RNA
Source: RNAcentral